RNAcentral lists this ribosomal RNA (3024 nucleotides) under Escherichia coli. RNAcentral's name for it is "23S ribosomal RNA". It matches the Rfam family "Bacterial large subunit ribosomal RNA". The record is from RNAcentral. Lineage: Bacteria; Pseudomonadati; Pseudomonadota; Gammaproteobacteria; Enterobacterales; Enterobacteriaceae.
GGGUUGUGAGGUUAAGCGACUAAGCGUACACGGUGGAUGCCCUGGCAGUCAGAGGCGAUGAAGGACGUGCUAAUCUGCGAUAAGCGUCGGUGAGGUGAUAUGAACCGUUAUAACCGGCGAUUUCCGAAUGGGGAAACCCAGUGUGUUUCGACACACUAUCAUUAACUGAAUCCAUAGGUUAAUGAGGCGAACCGGGGGAACUGAAACAUCUAAGUACCCCGAGGAAAAGAAAUCAACCGAGAUUCCCCCAGUAGCGGCGAGCGAACGGGGAGGAGCCCAGAGCCUGAAUCAGUGUGUGUGUUAGUGGAAGCGUCUGGAAAGGCGCGCGAUACAGGGUGACAGCCCCGUACACAAAAAUGCACAUAUUGUGAGCUCGAUGAGUAGGGCGGGACACGUGGUAUCCUGUCUGAAUAUGGGGGGACCAUCCUCCAAGGCUAAAUACUCCUGACUGACCGAUAGUGAACCAGUACCGUGAGGGAAAGGCGAAAAGAACCCCGGCGAGGGGAGUGAAAAAGAACCUGAAACCGUGUACGUACAAGCAGUGGGAGCCUCUUUAUGGGGUGACUGCGUACCUUUUGUAUAAUGGGUCAGCGACUUAUAUUCUGUAGCAAGGUUAACCGAAUAGGGGAGCCGAAGGGAAACCGAGUCUUAACUGGGCGUUAAGUUGCAGGGUAUAGACCCGAAACCCGGUGAUCUAGCCAUGGGCAGGUUGAAGGUUGGGUAACACUAACUGGAGGACCGAACCGACUAAUGUUGAAAAAUUAGCGGAUGACUUGUGGCUGGGGGUGAAAGGCCAAUCAAACCGGGAGAUAGCUGGUUCUCCCCGAAAGCUAUUUAGGUAGCGCCUCGUGAAUUCAUCUCCGGGGGUAGAGCACUGUUUCGGCAAGGGGGUCAUCCCGACUUACCAACCCGAUGCAAACUGCGAAUACCGGAGAAUGUUAUCACGGGAGACACACGGCGGGUGCUAACGUCCGUCGUGAAGAGGGAAACAACCCAGACCGCCAGCUAAGGUCCCAAAGUCAUGGUUAAGUGGGAAACGAUGUGGGAAGGCCCAGACAGCCAGGAUGUUGGCUUAGAAGCAGCCAUCAUUUAAAGAAAGCGUAAUAGCUCACUGGUCGAGUCGGCCUGCGCGGAAGAUGUAACGGGGCUAAACCAUGCACCGAAGCUGCGGCAGCGACACUAUGUGUUGUUGGGUAGGGGAGCGUUCUGUAAGCCUGUGAAGGUGGCCUGUGAGGGUUNNNNNNNNNNNNNNNNNNNNNNNNNNNNNNNNNNNNNNNNNNNNNNNNNNNNNNNNNNNNNNNNNNNNNNNNNNNNNNNNNNNNNNNNNNNNNNNNNUUGCUGGAGGUAUCAGAAGUGCGAAUGCUGACAUAAGUAACGAUAAAGCGGGUGAAAAGCCCGCUCGCCGGAAGACCAAGGGUUCCUGUCCAACGUUAAUCGGGGCAGGGUGAGUCGACCCCUAAGGCGAGGCCGAAAGGCGUAGUCGAUGGGAAACAGGUUAAUAUUCCUGUACUUGGUGUUACUGCGAAGGGGGGACGGAGAAGGCUAUGUUGGCCGGGCGACGGUUGUCCCGGUUUAAGCGUGUAGGCUGGUUUUCCAGGCAAAUCCGGAAAACCAAGGCUGAGGCGUGAUGACGAGGCACUACGGUGCUGAAGCGACAAAUGCCCUGCUUCCAGGAAAAGCCUCUAAGCAUCAGGUAACAUCAAAUCGUACCCCAAACCGACACAGGUGGUCAGGUAGAGAAUACCAAGGCGCUUGAGAGAACUCGGGUGAAGGAACUAGGCAAAAUGGUGCCGUAACUUCGGGAGAAGGCACGCUGAUAUGUAGGUGAAGCGACUUGCUCGUGGAGCUGAAAUCAGUCGAAGAUACCAGCUGGCUGCAACUGUUUAUUAAAAACACAGCACUGUGCAAACACGAAAGUGGACGUAUACGGUGUGACGCCUGCCCGGUGCCGGAAGGUUAAUUGAUGGGGUUAGCGGUAACGCGAAGCUCUUGAUCGAAGCCCCGGUAAACGGCGGCCGUAACUAUAACGGUCCUAAGGUAGCGAAAUUCCUUGUCGGGUAAGUUCCGACCUGCACGAAUGGCGUAAUGAUGGCCAGGCUGUCUCCACCCGAGACUCAGUGAAAUUGAACUCGCUGUGAAGAUGCAGUGUACCCGCGGCAAGACGGAAAGACCCCGUGAACCUUUACUAUAGCUUGACACUGAACAUUGAGCCUUGAUGUGUAGGAUAGGUGGGAGGCUUUGAAGUGUGGACGCCAGUCUGCAUGGAGCCGACCUUGAAAUACCACCCUUUAAUGUUUGAUGUUCUAACGUUGGCCCGUAAUCCGGGUUGCGGACAGUGUCUGGUGGGUAGUUUGACUGGGGCGGUCUCCUCCUAAAGAGUAACGGAGGAGCACGAAGGUUGGCUAAUCCUGGUCGGACAUCAGGAGGUUAGUGCAAUGGCAUAAGCCAGCUUGACUGCGAGCGUGACGGCGCGAGCAGGUGCGAAAGCAGGUCAUAGUGAUCCGGUGGUUCUGAAUGGAAGGGCCAUCGCUCAACGGAUAAAAGGUACUCCGGGGAUAACAGGCUGAUACCGCCCAAGAGUUCAUAUCGACGGCGGUGUUUGGCACCUCGAUGUCGGCUCAUCACAUCCUGGGGCUGAAGUAGGUCCCAAGGGUAUGGCUGUUCGCCAUUUAAAGUGGUACGCGAGCUGGGUUUAGAACGUCGUGAGACAGUUCGGUCCCUAUCUGCCGUGGGCGCUGGAGAACUGAGGGGGGCUGCUCCUAGUACGAGAGGACCGGAGUGGACGCAUCACUGGUGUUCGGGUUGUCAUGCCAAUGGCACUGCCCGGUAGCUAAAUGCGGAAGAGAUAAGUGCUGAAAGCAUCUAAGCACGAAACUUGCCCCGAGAUGAGUUCUCCCUGACUCCUUGAGAGUCCUGAAGGAACGUUGAAGACGACGACGUUGAUAGGCCGGGUGUGUAAGCGCAGCGAUGCGUUGAGCUAACCGGUACUAAUGAACCGUGAGGCUUAACCUUACAACGCCGAAG